UUAGAAAAUAUGCAAAUAACUUGUAUAAAUCAACAUAAUGGGUUGAUGUCUCUACCAUAGCACCGAUGCUAUGACUAUAGGUUAUAUUCACAAAAAU
Molecule: non-coding RNA, 97 nt
Filed under: Spiroplasma culicicola
Lineage: Bacteria; Bacillati; Mycoplasmatota; Mollicutes; Entomoplasmatales; Spiroplasmataceae
Description: Guanine sequence
Rfam family: 2dG-I riboswitch aptamer (M. florum) (bases 19-82)
Source: RNAcentral